UAAGGAAUAUUGGUCAAUGGACGCAAGUCUGAACCAGCCAUGCCGCGUGAAGGAUGAAGGUCCUCUGGAUUGUAAACUUCUUUUAUCUGGGACGAAAACGGGAUUUUUAUCUCAAUUGACGGUACCAGAGGAAUAAGCACCGGCUAACUCCGUGCCAGCAGCCGCGGUAAUACGGAGGGUGCGAGCGUUGUCCGGAUUUACUGGGUUUAAAGGGUGCGUAGGUGGGCUUAUAAGUCAGUGGUGAAAUCUCCGAGCUUAACUUGGAAACUGCCGUUGAUACUAUAGGUCUUGAAUUAUCUGGAGGUAAGCGGAAUAUGUCAUGUAGCGGUGAAAUGCUUAGAUAUGACAUAGAACACCAAUUGCGAAGGCAGCUUACUACAGACAAAUUGACGCUGAGGCACGAAAGGGUGGGGAUCAAACA
This 421-nucleotide ribosomal RNA is filed under the name uncultured bacterium. Its description in RNAcentral is "bacterial SSU rRNA". It matches the Rfam family "Bacterial small subunit ribosomal RNA", at positions 355 to 774 of the family's 1533-position model. The record is from RNAcentral.